CCUUAAUUUCCACCUGUGUGGGAUUUGUAUUGCAAAUAUAAACCCACUACUGACUCACAGAGCUUGCUCACUGGAGUUUGCUUGAAAGUAGGCUAUUUCAAGUAGUCUCUUUUAAGUAGGAGUUAAAACAACAGGAGUUUGUUGGUGGACUGUGGUUGGUAUUAGUUAAUACCAAGUGGAAAAGAAAAGCAGGUUUAAAUGUUAGUAUUUGUUUGUUUGUUUUUUUUUUCUCUCUUUUUGGGUUUUGUUUUG
Molecule: non-coding RNA, 252 nt
Organism: Pelobates cultripes (western spadefoot toad)
Lineage: Eukaryota; Metazoa; Chordata; Amphibia; Anura; Pelobatidae
Source: the annotation of a GenBank genome assembly